This is a long non-coding RNA of Panonychus citri (citrus red mite), 327 nucleotides long. RefSeq lists it as uncharacterized. The transcript has 4 exons. Lineage: Eukaryota; Metazoa; Arthropoda; Arachnida; Trombidiformes; Tetranychidae. The record is from RefSeq and is a predicted model, not a curated record.
CCAAUGGUUCCUUUUCCUUGAGGUGAAGUUGUUGAAAAACGAAGUGUCGAUUGGAGAGAUCCGAUUGCGCUGUUCUUUGGCCUCAUUUACUUCAUUCUUGGUUUCUUACGAAGUCUUCUACCUGUUGAUGGUCCACCUAAAGAUGACCGAAACAAGAGCAGGAUAAGAGGAUUUCCAAGUUCAGGAAAUGGACCUCCACCUCCUCCUCCUUGAGGUGGAUGAGGUUAAGUUUGAUUUCUCAUUUAAAUGAUAAGAUUAUAUUGAAAUUGGAAACUCAAUCUUAUCAAGUAAAUUACUCAUAUACAAUAUUGGCAUCUUCUUUUUCUU